CCCUAUUAUGAAGAUAAUAUUAAAAAUUAGUAUAAUAUUGAAAUUUAAUAGUUUUGGUGGUUAAAUUAUUAAUUAGAGAGGCUUGUCAAGUGGAAUUAGCUCUUUAUAUUUUAUUAAUAAAAGUUAGGUUUAUUCAUCUCCGUUAGAAAUAGAAAAGUUUAAAAUUUUUAAAAUAAAAUUUCAGGUCAAGAUGUAAUUUUUAUUAAAAGAGAUUAGUCAUGUUUAUGAAAUAAAUGGAAGAAGGAUUAAUUUUUAGAGAUUAAUAAUUAGGGAAAGAAUUGGAAUUAAAUUUAAUUGUAAUAUAAAUUAGAAAAUUAAUAUGAAACUUUUAUAGUUAAUGUA
This 342-nucleotide ribosomal RNA is filed under the name Parapachyloides uncinatus. RNAcentral describes it as "partial 12S ribosomal RNA". Lineage: Eukaryota; Metazoa; Arthropoda; Arachnida; Opiliones; Gonyleptidae. The record is from RNAcentral.